UCCCUACUCGGUACUAUUUUAGAGUGACACACAUUCAAAAUGUCGACCAAAACAGAACCAGUGUGCCAAAUAUUCACAUUUCGGGACUGCAAAACAUCCCCCGACCCGAUUUAUGAGAUCCCUGCCCAGUGUUUACAUCCAUCCCCGGUCCCGUUAGUGAUCGAUAACGGCUCCUUCCACACCCGGGCCGGCUGGGCGUGCAAAGGGGAUGAACUGGGCUCCCCGAGGCUGCUCUUCAGGUCCGUGGCUGCGAGGAGCCGAGGAGCCGCUCGGAGCGAAACCCAGAUCGGAAACGACAUCUCCAGCAUUGAACCUCUGCGAUGGCUCCUCAAGAGCCAGUUCGAUAGGAACGUGGUGGUCAACUUCGAAAUCCAGGAGCUGAUAUUCGAUCACAUAUUCACGCACAUGGGCAUCACAUCAGAGGCCAAGGUGGAGCAUCCCGUGGUGGUGACGGAGGCUCCGUGCAACCCGCUGCAUUGUCGUCAGAUGAUGUCCGAGCUGCUGUUUGAGUGCUACCAGGUGCCCCACGUCUCCUACGGCGUGGACGCCCUGUACAGCUUCAACAGCAACAACGCUCAGCGGGGCCUAGAGGGUCCUCAGACCGGCAUCGUCCUUUCCUCCGGAUACCACUGCUCACACAUCCUCCCUGUGAUCAACGGAAGGCUGGACGCGGGGAACGCUCAGCGUGUGAACGUGGGCGGCAGCCAGGCUGCGUCGUACCUGCUGCGGCUGCUGCAGCUCAAGUACCCGGGUCACCUGGCGGCCGUGACGCUCAGUCGCAUGGAGGAGCUGCUGCACGAGCACAGCUACACGGCCGUGGACUACCACAAAGAGCUGGAGCGCUGGCGCAGCCCCGACUUCUACGAGCGCGAGGUCCACCGCAUGCAGCUGCCCUUCUCGGCCAAGGCGGCCCCCGGGGCCUGCGCCAGCGCCGAGGAGCGGCAGGAGCGCCGCGCGCAGCAGCUGCGGCGGCUGCAGGAGAACAACGCGCGGCGCCGCGAGGAGAAGCUGCAGCACGACCAGGAGCGGCUGGACAAGCUGCUGGCCGUGCAGGAGCUGCUGGACGACGGCCUUCUGGAGCCGUUCCACAAGAACCUGGUGGAGCUCAACAUGGACUCGGCGGAGGAGCUCCAGUCCUACGUCACCAAGCUGCAGCUGGCGGUGGAGCAGGGCCGGCUGCGGCUGCUGGGGGGCGACGGCGCCGAGGGGAGGGCCGAGGGGUCCGAGCUGGACCCGCAGAUGGAUGAGGGGGACGGCGUGGCCCUCAUGGACCCGGACCUCCCCCCGGACAACGCCCUGAUGGACAAGUCCGCCAGCGUUCAGCCCCAGUUCAACAUGGCCGAGUACCACCAGCUGUUUGUGGGGACGGAGCGCCUGCGCUGCCCGGAGAUCGUGUUCCAGCCCUCGCUGACGGGCGAGGACCAGAUGGGCGUCAUGGAGACCCUGCAGCACGUCCUGGCCAGGUACACUCCAUCGCAGCAGGAGGCGCUGGUGAGCAACGUGUUCCUGACCGGAGGGAACAUGCUGUACCCAGGCAUGAAGGAGAGAGUGGAGAGAGAGCUGCUGGCUAUGAGACCCUUCCAGUCCCACUACAAGGUGACCCUGGCCGCCCGGCCGGCGUUGGACGCGUGGUACGGGGCCCGGGACUGGGCCCUGGGGGGCCCGCCCAGCGGGGGGGGGGGGCCGGUGGAGGGCUGGGUCAGCAGGCGGGACUACGAGGAGAAGGGCGGCGACUACCUCAGCGAACACCGCGCCUCCAACGCCUUCGUCUCCAUGAGGAUCGCCAAGCCCGCCCCCUCCGUCCCCCGCCCCGCCGAACCCGCCGUCGCCACGGCGACCGGGGACACGCCCACAGCCGCGGUGGUGCCGGGAGGACCGGCCGUCCCUGCCGCCUCCGUUCCCGCCUCUGUGGAGGCUGAGGCUGAGAUGGUCACGUCCUAGGACGACUAAAUAGAGCAGAUCUAUGUGAUGGACGUCUAAAUAGAGCAGAUCUAUGUGAUGGACGUCUAAAUAGAGCAGAUCUAUGUGAUGGACGUCUAAAUAGAGCAGAUCUAUGUGAUGGACGUCUAAAUAGAGCAGAUCUGUGUGAUGGACGUCUAAAUAGAGCAGAUCUAUGUGAUGGACGUCUAAAUAGAGCAGAUCUAUGAGAUGGACGUCUAAAUAGAGCAGAUCUAUGUGAUGGACGUCUAAAUAGAGCAGAUCUAUGUGAUGGACGUUUAAAUAGAGCAGAUCUAUCUGAUGGAUGUUUAAAUAGCUGACGCCAUUCAUAUUGAAUUGGUUCUUAAUAUGUACAUUGAUAUUUUUGUUGGCGUGUUUAAUACUUCUUUUUUAAUUUGACGGUGCUGAAGUUGGGUGGCUUCACCUCAUUCCAAGUCCAGACUCAAGUCACUCCCUGAGGCUCCUUGCUCAUGUUCUGGGUAGCAAUAGGUUUUGUAGUCAAGGGUAGGCAGUGAUCGAUUGAAUAUAUAUAUAUCUUUAUUUUUUUUUCAAAAAGUAACAAUAAAAAAUAUACAAAUAUAUAUAUACACAUUUAUUUAGGAUGCUCAAAAGAGAAUUUUCAUUCAGUACCCUAAACGGUACAGUCUCUUCCCACCAGGGGCGUACUAGGUCCUUGAACAAACCUACAUAAGGCAAGGCAACUACAUGAGGUCGACUCAAAGUGCUUCACCUAGAAACAUCGUCAUACAAUAAAAUCAAAUAAAAGAAAAUAGAUUAAAAAAA
This is an RNA transcript of Gadus morhua (Atlantic cod), 2721 nucleotides long. It is a transcript of the gene named actin related protein 5, with no coding region annotated. The record is from RefSeq and is a predicted model, not a curated record. Lineage: Eukaryota; Metazoa; Chordata; Actinopteri; Gadiformes; Gadidae. The transcript has 10 exons.